GACGAACGCUGGCGGCGUGCUUAACACAUGCAAGUCGAACGGAAAGGCCCUGCUUUUGUGGGGUGCUCGAGUGGCGAACGGGUGAGUAACACGUGAGUAACCUGCCCUUGACUUUGGGAUAACUUCAGGAAACUGGGGCUAAUACCGGAUAGGAGCUCCUGCUGCAUGGUGGGGGUUGGAAAGUUUCGGCGGUUGGGGAUGGACUCGCGGCUUAUCAGCUUGUUGGUGGGGUAGUGGCUUACCAAGGCUUUGACGGGUAGCCGGCCUUAGAGGGUGACCGGCCACAUUGGGACUGAGAUACGGCCCAGACUCCUACGGGAGACAGCAGUGGGGAAUAUUGCACAAUGGGCGGAAGCCUGAUGCAGCAACGCCGCGUGCGGGAUGACGGCCUUCUGGUUGUAAACCGCUUUCGCCUGUGACGAAGCGUGAGUGACGGUAAUGGGUAAAGAAGCACCGGCUAACUACGUG
Molecule: ribosomal RNA, 468 nt
Filed under: uncultured bacterium
Lineage: Bacteria
Description: partial 16S ribosomal RNA
Rfam family: Bacterial small subunit ribosomal RNA
Source: RNAcentral